CACGUAGUUAGCCGUGGCUUUCUGGUUAGGUGCCGUCAAGGUACGAGCAGUUACUCUCGUACUUGUUCUUCCCUAACAACAGAGUUUUACGAUCCGAAAACCUUCAUCACUCACGCGGCGUUGCUCCGUCAGACUUUCGUCCAUUGCGGAAGAUUCCCUACUGCUGCCUCCCGUAGGAGUCUGGGCCGUGUCUCAGUCCCAGUGUGGCCGAUCACCCUCUCAGGUCGGCUACGCAUCGUGGCCUUGGUGAGCCGUUACCUCACCAACUAGCUAAUGCGCCGCGGGCCCAUCUAUAAGUGACAGCGUAAACCGUCUUUUAGCUUUUCUACAUGUGUAGAAAGAAUUAUCCGGUAUUAGCUCCGGUUUCCCGUAACGUUAGUCCCACGUCUUACUUAGGCAGGUUGCCCACGUGUUACUCACCGUCCGCCGCUAAUCUUUGGAGCAAGCUCCCAAAGAUUCGCUCGACCUUGCAUGUAUUUAGGCACGCCGCCAGCGUUCGUCCUGUGCCAGGAUCAAACUACUACCG
RNAcentral lists this ribosomal RNA (526 nucleotides) under uncultured Bacillaceae bacterium. RNAcentral's name for it is "partial 16S ribosomal RNA". Lineage: Bacteria; Bacillati; Bacillota; Bacilli; Caryophanales; Bacillaceae. The record is from RNAcentral.